This 86-nucleotide transfer RNA is filed under the name Candidatus Tariuqbacter arcticus. RNAcentral describes it as "tRNA-Leu". It matches the Rfam family "tRNA". Rfam says of the family: Transfer RNA (tRNA) molecules are approximately 80 nucleotides in length. Their secondary structure includes four short double-helical elements and three loops (D, anti-codon, and T loops). Further hydrogen bonds mediate the characteristic L-shaped molecular structure. tRNAs have two regions of fundamental functional importance: the anti-codon, which is responsible for specific mRNA codon recognition, and the 3' end, to which the tRNAs corresponding amino acid is attached (by aminoacyl-tRNA synthetases). tRNAs cope with the degeneracy of the genetic code in two manners: having more than one tRNA (with a specific anti-codon) for a particular amino acid; and 'wobble' base-pairing, i.e. permitting non-standard base-pairing at the 3rd anti-codon position. Lineage: Bacteria; Pseudomonadati; Candidatus Electryoneota; Candidatus Tariuqbacteria; Candidatus Tariuqbacterales; Candidatus Tariuqbacteraceae. The record is from RNAcentral.
GCCGGGGUGGCGGAACAGGUAGACGCAAGGGACUUAAAAUCCCUCGGAUAUAUUUAUCCGUGCCGGUUCGAUUCCGGCCCUCGGCA